RNAcentral lists this ribosomal RNA (216 nucleotides) under Vibrio ulleungensis. Its description in RNAcentral is "Vibrio sp. 188UL20-2 partial 16S ribosomal RNA". It matches the Rfam family "Bacterial small subunit ribosomal RNA", at positions 1 to 212 of the family's 1533-position model. Lineage: Bacteria; Pseudomonadati; Pseudomonadota; Gammaproteobacteria; Vibrionales; Vibrionaceae. The record is from RNAcentral.
AAAUUGAAGAGUUUGAUCAUGGCUCAGAUUGAACGCUGGCGGCAGGCCUAACACAUGCAAGUCGAGCGGAAACGACAACAUUGACCCUUCGGGUGAUUUGUUGGGCGUCGAGCGGCGGACGGGUGAGUAAUGCUUAGGAAUUUGCCCAGUCGAGGGGGACAACAGUUGGAAACGACUGCUAAUACCGCAUACGCCCUACGGGGGAAAGCAGGGGAC